RNAcentral lists this ribosomal RNA (331 nucleotides) under uncultured eukaryote. RNAcentral describes it as "partial 18S ribosomal RNA". It matches the Rfam family "Eukaryotic small subunit ribosomal RNA", at positions 1470 to 1796 of the family's 1831-position model. The record is from RNAcentral.
CCCUUAGAUGUUCUGGGCCGCACGCGCGCUACACUGUUCGACGCAGCGAGUCUUAACCUUGACCGAAAGGUUUGGGUAAUCUUCAGCAAAGUCGAACGUGAUGGGGAUCGAUCAUUGCAAUUAUUGAUCGUGAACGAGGAAUUCCUAGUAAGUGCAAGUCAUCAGCUUGCGCUGAUUACGUCCCUGCCCUUUGUACACACCGCCCGUCGCUACUACCGAUUGAAUGGUUUAGUGAGAUCUCUGGAUUGACGCUGGCUAGGGGGCGACCCUUGGCCAGACUGUUGAGAAACUGCCCAAACUUGAUCAUUUAGAGGAAGUAAAAGUCGUAACA